RNAcentral lists this long non-coding RNA (700 nucleotides) under Triticum aestivum (bread wheat). RNAcentral's name for it is "long non-coding RNA (TAES_LNC012220)". The record is from RNAcentral. Lineage: Eukaryota; Viridiplantae; Streptophyta; Magnoliopsida; Poales; Poaceae.
AUUGGCACGCAGCUCGAGCAGCCCAUGCACAACUCGAGCUAAAUACCCAUGCCUUGCCACUUGAUGAUAAAGAAAGUAUGGGUUCGUUAGUUAAUAUAUUUAGUCAAAUACGCCGAGUACAACAUAUGUUCAGUUUUAUCACAUCUCAUAUAUGCAUUAUUGAUCUCAUCAAACAUUUUUGAAUGUUAACAUACAUAAACAAAAGGUCAUAUCGUAACUCCUAACAUACAUACAUGAAUGUUAGCACUGUCACUGUCCUAGGGGCAAAGAAUCUGCAUUGUUUCGUAACGAGUCUCACCACUUUCGUCUGUUCUUGUGGUUACUCUCAUAACCAUAGACAAUCUAUUUUAGGAAAGAUCGGGACGGUGUUGCAAUUACGCAUGUCAAGAGAAAGCUGAUCAGAUGCCAUAAGCCCAUAAUCAUGUGCGAAGAUGAAACUUAGAACGUGCCUUGCACUACAGUGAAAAUUUUUACCUCUCAUAUUUGCAGACCCAAUGGGUAAUAAGUAAUCCCAUAUGCACCCUUUCUCCGAGCCACAUCAUGGUCGCCCCCACGCUCGUCAGCACGCUUGCCUUCCUCACGCACACUGCUUAGUUUCGGCUUCACCACUAGCAAUAUUUAGUGAAUACAAAAAACACUGACCUAAAAUAGAUAAGCUUGAUUCUUCACUGCAGAGAAUAAUUUGGACGUAUUAGCAAAG